CAUAAAGUCUCUGAUUUUGACUUUUGAACAAGAAUAAGAACAAGAAUUCCUUAACAAACAAGUAUUGUAAACUCUACCCCUUUCCUCACUCCCAAAGCGAUAUCUAUAAACCGACACCAGUUUUCCUUAUCCCGCGUUAAUUCCGUAUCUGCCACCGAUCAACAGUUGCUCACAUAACUCUUUAUAAAUACUCAAACCGAACACAAUCUAUUCAUCAAUCGGAUUCACAUAAACCUCAACCGACUGCUUUUUUGGAUAACUUGAAUAUAAGGCUAAGUUCAAGAUGGAUCAGAAAUCUGAGCAUGUUGAGAAGGAAGAGGUUCAUAUGAAAAUAGAGUGCAAGAUCAAAGGGGCAGAUGAAGAAAAAGGAGAGAAAGUCGAACAAGAGAUAGAUUUUAAAACUAAAUCAGUUGAGAAAGAGAAGCCAAAACAUAAGGACGAUGAAAAAAAACCGAAGAAAGAUGAAGAGAAAAAGAAAAAGGAGUCAGAAGGGGAAGACGAAAAUGUCGACAAGAAAGAAAAGAAGAAGAAAGAAAAGAAGAAAGACGAGGAUGGAGAAACAGACGAGGGAGAUAAAGAGUCGAAAAAGAAGAAGAAAGACAAAUCUGAUGAUAAAGAGCAUGAUGAUGAAGAAAAUAAGAACAAAAAAGAGAAGAAGAAGAAAGAAAAGGAUGACGAUGAAGAGAAAACUGAAAAGAAAGAUAAAGAGAAAAAGAAAAAGGAGUCGGAAGGGGAAGACGAAAAUGCCGACAAGAAAGAAAAGACGAAGAAAGAGAAGACGAAGAAAGAAAAGAAGAAAGACGGUGGAGAAACAGACGAAGGAGAUAAAGAGUCGAAAAAGAAGAAGAAAGACAAGCGUGACAAAUCUGAUGAUAAAGAACACGAUAAAGAAGAAAAUAAGAAUAAAAAUGAGAAGAAGAAGAAAGAAAAGGAUGACGAUGAAGAGAAAACCGAGAAGAAAGAUAAAAAAGAUAAGAAAGACAAGAAAACGCACAAGGAUGACAAAGUAAGUGAUGUCCAGGGUGAGUCAAGGGAGAUUGAAAUAGAAGAAGACGCUAAAGAAGCGAAGAAGGGGAAGAAAGAUAAGGGGGAUAAAAAGAAAGUUGAUGCAAAAUACAAGGAUGUUGACAAGCUAAAACUUAAAUUAGAGAAGCUCAACACUAAAAUUGAAGGUUUACUAGAGAAGAAGGCGGAAAUAACGAGGUUGAUGAAGGAGAAGGAGGAAAGCCGUGGUGUUGUUAAGGAAUCCAAUGAGACCAAUCCAGUUGCCGAAGAAGUGGCAUAAAGCUUGUUCAUGUAAUCUUAUCUUGUCUCUAUGCUCCUGUUUUAAUAAAUGAAGAUUAGCGUUCCUGAUAAUGGUCAAACGUGAACUAGUUUGACUUACCUGACAUCCCAAGUACUUGGUCAUGCUGUAAUCGGCGAAUGGGUUUUCAAACAGACCCAACGUGAACUUCACCCUCAAAAUCCUCUCAACCGCAUCGUCUAUUCGGCUCAUGGGUAUAAACUUAUUUUUGACCAAAGAAUUAUUGAAGACUUACAGGAGAUUCAGAGAGAGAGAGUGAAGAUCGGCUGCUUGUUGGAUUGUUUUUUGGAGGUAUUCUUGAAACUGGUUCAACAAUUUUGGCCGUCGGUCUGCUUUUCAUUGACCAUGCAUUGAGGAAACAAAUGAUUAAGAAAAUGUUUUGUGCAGUUAGAAUAAAUCUUGAGUUGUAAACAUGUUUUUUCAUUUGGAUUUUUAUCAUAUCACAUAUAUUAUAUAUUCUCUAGUUAUGAAUCA
Molecule: RNA transcript, 1777 nt
Organism: Helianthus annuus (common sunflower)
Lineage: Eukaryota; Viridiplantae; Streptophyta; Magnoliopsida; Asterales; Asteraceae
Gene name: nucleolar protein 58
Exons: 5
Source: RefSeq, a predicted model, not a curated record